UGGCUGGGGGUGAAAGGCCAAUCAAACCGGGAGAUAGCUGGUUCUCCCCGAAAGCUAUUUAGGUAGCGCCUCGUGAAUUCAUCUUCGGGGGUAGAGCACUGUUUCGGCUAGGGGGUCAUCCCGACUUACCAACCCGAUGCAAACUACGAAUACCGAAGAAUGUUAUCACGGGAGACACACGGCGGGUGCUAACGUCCGUCGUGAAGAGGGAAACAACCCAGACCGCCAGCUAAGGUCCCAAAGUCAUGGUUAAGUGGGAAACGAUGUGGGAAGGCACAGACAGCCAGGAUGUUGGCUUAGAAGCAGCCAUCAUUUAAAGAAAGCGUAAUAGCUCACUGGUCGAGUCGGCCUGCGCGGAAGAUGUAACGGGGCUAAACCAUGCACCGAAGCUGCGGCAGCGACACUAUGUGUUGUUGGGUAGGGGAGCGUUCUGUAAGCCUGCGAAGGUGUGCUGUGAGGCAUGCUGGAGGUAUCAGAAGUGCGAAUGCUGACAUAAGUAACGAUAAAGCGGGUGAAAAGCCCGCUCGCCGGAAGACCAAGGGUUCCUGUCCAACGUUAAUCGGGGCAGGGUGAGUCGACCCCUAAGGCGAGGCCGAAAGGCGUAGUCGAUGGGAAACAGGUUAAUAUUCCUGUACUUGGUGUUACUGCGAAGGGGGGACGGAGAAGGCUAUGUUAGCCGGGCGACGGUUGUCCCGGUUUAAGCAUGUAGGCUGGUUGUCCAGGCAAAUCCGGAUAAUCAAGGCUGAGGUGUGAUGACGAGGCACUACGGUGCUGAAGUAACAAAUGCCCUGCUUCCAGGAAAAGCCUCUAAGCAUCAGGUAACAU
RNAcentral lists this ribosomal RNA (825 nucleotides) under Klebsiella pneumoniae. RNAcentral's name for it is "partial 23S ribosomal RNA". It matches the Rfam family "Bacterial large subunit ribosomal RNA", at positions 812 to 1637 of the family's 2925-position model. Lineage: Bacteria; Pseudomonadati; Pseudomonadota; Gammaproteobacteria; Enterobacterales; Enterobacteriaceae. The record is from RNAcentral.